AGCUCCAAUAGCGUAUAUUAAAGUUGCUGCGGUUAAAAAGCUCGUAGUUGGAUUUCGGGACAGGUCAAUCAGUCUACCAAUUUGGUUAGCACAUGGUUGGCUUGGCCAUUCUCUUGGAGAACACUUCUGCGCUUCGUUGUGUGGGGUGGUAUCCAAGACUUUUACUUUGAGGAAAUUAGAGUGUUUCAAACAGGCGCACGCCUUAAAUACGCUAGCAUGGAAUAACAAGAUGGAACCUUGGCUUUAUUUUGUUGGUUUUUAGAGCUAAGGUAAUGAUUAAUAGGGAUAGUCGGGGGCAUUCGUAUUCAACAGUCAGAGGUGAAAUUCUUGGAUUUGUUGAAGUCGGACUACUGCGAAAGCAUUUGCCAAGGAUAUUUUCAUUGAUCAAGAACGAAAGUAG
Molecule: ribosomal RNA, 400 nt
Filed under: phytoplankton environmental sample
Lineage: Eukaryota
Description: partial small subunit ribosomal RNA
Rfam family: Eukaryotic small subunit ribosomal RNA
Source: RNAcentral